AUGCCCUCGACCGCACGCACGACUCUCCUACCCUCCACUCGCACGCCCGACUACGCCCGACUCACUGCCCACGUUCGCGGCCGCCCUCCAUCCCUUCGACGCCGCCGCUCCAUCCCUUCGCCGCCGCUAACGUGCCGGAUCUUGCCUCAGUCGCCGCCUCUCCGCCAUGAAAGAGAGGGCUCCCGAUCUCCGCCGGAGUCGACCAACAGCGCGACGCGCCACCAGAUCGGCGACGCGCCGGGAUCGCCUCUCCGCCUCGGCGCUUGCGCUUCCAGAUCGAAGCCCACGACGGCGGCGUCCCAGAUUGGUGACGCGCCACCGUACGUCACGGCUGACAGCCGUGUCCUCGUCAAGGAAGCGUCGCUUCGAGGUGGCGGCAACCAAGGCCUCCCGGAUCCCCGCCUCCUUCCUCACAUCUCCGGCGGCGACAGCGACAAAUUCCGACACCAUGAGGCCACCGGCACGAGGAGGAUGCGGCGGGAGGGGUUUCGGCGGCAGGAGCGACGGCGGCGACCGCAGGGGGGCAGGGGCUUCGGCGGGAGAAGCGAUGGCGGUGGCCGCAGCGGCAGGGGUGGCCGGGGAGGCAGGACGCCCAGGGGCCGUGGUCGUGGCGGCGGGGGAAGGGGAGGGCCCGGCAUGAAGGGUGGGAGCAAGGUGGUCAUGGUGCCGCACAAGCACGACGGCGUCUUCAUCACCAAGGCCAAGGAGGACCCGCUCUGCACCAAGAACAUGGUCGCCGGGUAG
Molecule: ribosomal RNA, 744 nt
Filed under: Triticum aestivum (bread wheat)
Lineage: Eukaryota; Viridiplantae; Streptophyta; Magnoliopsida; Poales; Poaceae
Description: partial small subunit ribosomal RNA
Source: RNAcentral